Molecule: ribosomal RNA, 359 nt
Filed under: uncultured bacterium
Lineage: Bacteria
Description: partial 16S ribosomal RNA
Rfam family: Bacterial small subunit ribosomal RNA
Source: RNAcentral
CCUACGGGGUGCAGCAGUGGGGAAUAUUGCACAAUGGGGGAAACCCUGAUGCAGCGAAGCCGCGUGAGUGAAGAAGUAAUUCGUUACGUAAAGCUCUAUCAGCAGGGAAGAAAUACUGACCUUACGGUCAGCAGACGGUACCUGAGUAAGAAGACCCGGCUAACUACGUGCCAGCAGCCGCGGUAAUACGUAGGGGGCAAGCGUUAUCUGGAUUUACUGGGGGUAAAGGGAGCGUAGACGGUGCGCCAAGUCUGGUGGGAAAUGCCGCAGCUUAACUGCGGAACUGCUGUGGAAACUGGCGGACUAGAGUGCGGGAGAGGUAAGCGGAAUGCCUAGUGUAGCGGUGAAAUGCGUAGAUA